GUUUUCUCUCCCCAGCACCUAUGAGCUCAGCCCCCAGCCCAAGCCGAGCCCAGGUGUGUGCUCAAGAAAUUGUCUAAACAGGUCCUGAGCCUCCAUCUGGCACCCUGAGGAAGCACCACCACCAGCCAGUGUGGCCAAGGGGAGCCCAGGACUCUAGGUUCCAGCCUGUGCUGGAGCCCCCCAGCCCCCAGGCCACCCUGGCCCUUUCUCCUCUCUUGCCAGGCUCUUCUCCCCAGGCUGCCCAGCCCAGCUCCCCACGCCCUGCUGCAGCUCCCCACGGUAGCCUCACUCCUGCCUGCUUUUUAUAAAAUGGGCUUUGGGGAACAGUUUUAUUUGAAUAAAAAGGUUUCAGCUACUAAAAAAUUAGAAUUUAAACAUUGGUAACAAGACCUGGGAAUACAGUCCAAAUUGCUUAAUCACAGGAACCGGUUCUUGGACCCUUUCUGCACGCUGGGCGCUUGCAUACAUUAAUCUCCACAGCCUCGAGAGGUAUCUGACAGAAACCUGUUUGGGGGAAGAGGCGGCAUGUUCAGCCGCCUGCUCUGGUCCCUCUGUGGAGGCCCAGCUCAGAGGCUCCUUCCCUGGCUGAGGUUUCUGCCCCCUUCCUCUACCUGCCCAGCUCCGUGGGCCUCUCCCACAGCCGCCUUAUCUCAUUCACUGCAGGGUUCAGAGCUCUGCGAGCUUAUCUUAUCCUUGUGCUGGUCCCAGACUCCUUGAGGGCAAAGUCCAGGACUCAUUCAUCCUCCUCGUCUGGGCAGCCCCAACACAGUGCGGCCAUAAAAAAGGAAAAAAAGAAAGGAAACUUGUGCAAGGCAGACCCAGCUCCCUCUGACUGGCUCCUUGAUCACCAUGGACCUGUGCCCUUUUUCCGGCAGGCCCUGGGGUGGGCCUGUGCAUGUCUUGCCUCGCCAGGAUCCUGA
This 920-nucleotide long non-coding RNA is filed under the name Sus scrofa (pig). RNAcentral's name for it is "lncRNA (ENSSSCG00070022089.1)". The record is from RNAcentral. Lineage: Eukaryota; Metazoa; Chordata; Mammalia; Artiodactyla; Suidae.